This 77-nucleotide transfer RNA is filed under the name bacterium. RNAcentral's name for it is "tRNA-Ile". It matches the Rfam family "tRNA". Rfam says of the family: Transfer RNA (tRNA) molecules are approximately 80 nucleotides in length. Their secondary structure includes four short double-helical elements and three loops (D, anti-codon, and T loops). The record is from RNAcentral.
GCGCGUGUAGCUCAGGUGGUUAGAGCACUCCACUGAUAAUGGAGAGGUCCCAAGUUCGAGUCUUGGCACGCGCACCA